This 440-nucleotide ribosomal RNA is filed under the name uncultured bacterium. RNAcentral's name for it is "partial 16S ribosomal RNA". It matches the Rfam family "Bacterial small subunit ribosomal RNA", at positions 338 to 795 of the family's 1533-position model. The record is from RNAcentral.
CCUACGGGUGGCAGCAGUGGGGAAUAUUGCACAAUGGGGGGAACCCUGAUGCAGCAACGCCGCGUGGGUGAAGAAGUACUCAGGUAUGUAAAGCCCUGUCAGCAGGGAAGAUAAUGACGGUACCUGACCAAGAAGCACCGGCUAACUACGUGCCAGCAGCCGCGGUAAUACGGAGGGUGCAAGCGUUAUCCGGAUUUACUGGGUGUAAAGGGAGCGUAGACGGCAAGGUAAGUCUGGAGUGAAAGCCCGUGGCUCAACCACGGGACUGCAUUUGAAACUGUGUGGCUGGAGUGCAGGAGGGGUAGGCGGAAUUCCUGGUGUAGCGGUGAAAUGCGUAGAUAUUAGGAGGAACACCCGUGGCGAAGGCGACCUACUGGAAUGUAACUGACGUUGAGGCUCGAAGGCGUGGGGAGCAAACAGGAUUAGAUACCCCAGUAGUC